Non-coding RNA from Pelobates cultripes (western spadefoot toad), 560 nucleotides. Lineage: Eukaryota; Metazoa; Chordata; Amphibia; Anura; Pelobatidae. The record is from the annotation of a GenBank genome assembly.
UCUCUCUCUCCCCGGUCUCCGUGUCUGUCUCUCUCUCCCCGGUCUCCUGGUCUGUCUCUCUCUCCCCGUUCUCCGUGUCUGUCUCUCUCCCCCCGUUCUCCGUGUCUCUCUCUCUCCCCCCGUUCUCCGUGUCUGUCUCUCUCUCCCCCCGUUCUCCGUGUCUGUCUCUCUCUCUCCCCCCGUUCUCCGUGUCUGUCUCUCUCUCUCCCCCCGUUCUCCGUGUCUGUCUCUCUCUCUCCCCCGUUCUCCGUGUCUGUGUCUCUCUCUCUCUCUCUCUCCCCGUUCUCCGUGUCUGUGUCUCUCUCUCUCUCUCUCUCCCCGUUCUCCGUGUCUGUCUCUCUCUCUCUCUCUCCCCGUUUUCCGUGUCUGUCUCUCUCUCUCUCUCCCCGUUCUCCGUGUCUGUCUCUGUCUCUCUCUCUCUCUCCCCGUUCUCCGUGUCUGUCUCUCUCUCUCUCUCUCUCCCCGUUCUCCGUGUCUGUCUCUCUCUCUCUCCCCGUUCUCCGUGUCUGUCUCUCUCUCUCUCUCUCUCCCCGUUCUCCGUGUCUGUCUCUCUCUCUCUC